RNAcentral lists this ribosomal RNA (499 nucleotides) under uncultured bacterium. Its description in RNAcentral is "partial 16S ribosomal RNA". It matches the Rfam family "Bacterial small subunit ribosomal RNA", at positions 28 to 507 of the family's 1533-position model. The record is from RNAcentral.
GAUGAACGCUGGCGGCGUGCCUAAUACAUGCAAGUCGAGCGAACAGACGAGAGUGCUUGCACUCUCUGACGUUAGCGGCGGACGGGUGAGUAACACGUGGGUAACCUACCUAUAAGACUGGGAUAACUUCGGGAAACCGGAGCUAAUACCGGAUAAUAUUUAGCUUCGCAUGAAGCAAUAGUGAAAGACGGUUCUGCUGUCACUUGUAGAUGGACCCGCGGUGUAUUAGCUAGUUGGUGAGGUAACGGCUCACCAAGGCAACGAUACAUAGCCGACCUGAGAGGGUGAUCGGCCACACUGGGACUGAGACACGGCCCAGACUCCUACGGGAGGCAGCAGUAGGGAAUCUUCCGCAAUGGACGAAAGUCUGACGGAGCAAUGCCGCGUGAGUGAAGAAGGUUUUCGGAUCGUAAAACUCUGUUGUAAGGGAAGAACAAGUACGUUAGUAACUGAACGUACCUUGACGGUACCUUACCAGAAAGCCACGGCUAACUACGUG